This is a long non-coding RNA of Gallus gallus (chicken), 2145 nucleotides long. The record is from Ensembl. NCBI's taxonomy places the organism in Eukaryota, Metazoa, Chordata, Aves, Galliformes, Phasianidae.
UCUUGCUGGCGAUCUCUGUGUAUCUAAGGUCUUCUGAAGGCCUAUGCUAUACCACGAAGAACCAUAAAUCAGAGGCAGAAUCAUUCUACCUCCUAAGUACAGACAAAAUAUUCAAAUGUUAGCCUGAAACAGUCAUAAGAAAGCAGCUCUCCAUCCAUUUUCAGCCUAAGUCUACUGUGAUGAUCAAAAUAGAUAAUCAUAGCAGAACUGAGCAGUCUUUGUGAAGGAACACCACUUGGAAGCAUGCCAAGAAAUCACUUCACAAUGGUAGCGGGAGUUGGCACACCAAUAGCAUUGUGUUUCUGCUGUUCUCCAGAGUUCAUAAACUGAGGAAUUUGAGGACCUGUCGUAUAAACAGCUUCAGAGAAGUCCCAAGGAAUAGUCUGUACCAGGUAUAGCAGUCUGAUCCAACAUGUAUGGUGGUUUGUGACCUCCAUAGAAAAAGAGAGCAUAAUCUAAAAACACUUCAGGAUUAUGGAGUCUUUAGAAGUUCUCAAAUAACUUGUUAGCAGAGAUGAAAUCAAUCAUUAAAAAAAAGUACAUAUGUUACCAUUAGGAGAAUUAGAAAUUAAGAAAUACUGUUUAGGUACCACACUUCUCUGUGACUACCUCAAAGGAGUUUCCCUGGUUUGCACCUUCUAUUACUUAUGUCUUCAUAAGUAGUUCAUUAUCUCUCUGGUUCAGUGUUUGUGUCUGUUGUUAUCAGAAACAUUUGGCAAAUAAAUGGCAAACAGAAAAUUGUACUCAUACUCAUGAGGUCUAUUAAAAAAAAUCUGCCUGAUUGUUGUCUGAAAAUUACCAGAAAAGUGUCAUGUUUUGAUUGCUGAGUUUUGGAGUGAAAUAGCAAUAAAACCACAGGCCAAAAGUCAGAGUUGCAUUUUUUUCGCAGGCAUCAGCUGAACAAAGAGAUGAUGCUGAUGCUAUAAGAAACCUUGGGAGAAAGUUAUAGGGGAACUGCAUUGCCUUUUCUUCAGUAAGUCCUGGCUGGUACCAGUCCGUAUCAGAGCCAAGAGUUUCAUGGUUGUUACUUACUUAAAAAUUGGAGGAGGAUAAGGCUCUCAGUUUGUGUUGUUAUUCUCUAGCAUGUUAUUGUGACUUUAGCAUAUUACUACAGUUCUUAAUGAGACUGAUUUUUUUUCCCAAACAGUUCAUAGCUGUAUGCACCAAAGCUAUUGCAGGUAGACAAAUAGGCUUUCCCAAUAAAGUUGUUUUAUGAGUAGCUUUUUGUCUUUUUCCCACUUCAUCACCUGAAGAGGCUGUCAUAAUGGUAUUUCACUUGAUUAGGAACAGUGUAUCAGCAGAGUACACAUAAUAAUGAUGCUCUUUUUGCUUUAUUUUGCACAAGCACAGCAAAAACCACACUCAAAGAAAGACAAAUUAUAUUUUAAAAAACUGACAGAGAUGGGCAGUUUCAGUGGGACCUCAAAACCCACGCUUUGGGGUUGUUAGACAGGCAUUGUGCUCCUUCAGAACUCCCCUCUGUACAGAUACAAACAGAGAAGUGGUUGUGGCUUUAGAAAUUUCAUUCCUCUUGUUUGUCUCUGUAAUGAGAACAAAGAUGGAGGGACAGGAGCGGGCAUGCUGAGACUAGAAUGCAGAGGAAAAUAGUUCAGAACAGACCUGUAUUGCUGGAAUACCAGGUGUGUGUGCGUGCUCUGCAGAUGUUUUUGAGCACGAGAGCUUCUGCCAAAGGCCUAAAUCAAAAGAAGGGGGGAUUACGGAUCUCUAUUGCAUAAUGUUUCAGGCACACUGCUUUCAACCACAAGGUUAUAUGAACUAGCAGACAGUUGCAAAUUAGUUUACGAGCUGCAGAGCAAAUCAAUUAGGCUUGUCGUUCCUCUUUUUUUCUAUAAUCCAGAACCAAAUCUGUGAAUAGGAUUGUUUUGCGCCUGUCUUCACUAGAAGGGGUUUUUAUUCUGUUUGCUUUCUUAUUUUACUACUUUGUCCUUAAUGGUGGCUGUUUUUGCUUUUUUCUGUGUUCUUUGUUUCUUCUGAAAUGAUCUAAGAGAGAAAAUGAAACUGUACUGACUUGGAUGUUUAUGUUGUAUCCUGUAAAUCCAGAAUUUUUGUGUACUCUGUACUGUUUACACCAGUUAUGUAAAAUCUGUGAUGAUUCUUACAUGUAAUAUUAGUCUUCUCUCUGCU